GGCUCAGAACGAACGCUGGCGGCGUGCUUAACACAUGCAAGUCGAACGAACCUUCGGGUUAGUGGCGGACGGGUGAGUAACGCGUGAGAAUCUGCCCUCAGGAGGGGGAUAACGGUUGGAAACGACCGCUAAUACCCCAUAUGCCGAGAGGUGAAAAGAAAUUCGCCUGAGGAUGAGCUCGCGUCUGAUUAGCUAGUUGGUGUGGUAAUGGCGCAGCAAGGCUUCGAUCAGUAGCUGGUCUGAGAGGAUGAUCAGCCACACUGGGACUGAGACACGGACCAGACUCCUACGGGAGUCUGCAGUGGG
Molecule: ribosomal RNA, 306 nt
Filed under: uncultured bacterium
Lineage: Bacteria
Description: bacterial SSU rRNA
Rfam family: Bacterial small subunit ribosomal RNA
Source: RNAcentral